Molecule: ribosomal RNA, 253 nt
Filed under: uncultured bacterium
Lineage: Bacteria
Description: partial 16S ribosomal RNA
Rfam family: Bacterial small subunit ribosomal RNA
Source: RNAcentral
AACGUAGGAGGCGAGCGUUAUCCGGAUUUACUGGGUGUAAAGCGCGUGCAGGCGGUUUGAUAAGUUGGAUGUGAAAGCUCCUGGCUCAACUGGGAGAGGUCGUUCAAAACUAUCAGACUAGAGAGUGGUAGAGGAAAGUGGAAUUCCCGGUGUAGUGGUGAAAUGCGUAGAUAUCGGGAGGAACACCAGUGGCGAAGGCGGCUUUCUGGACCAUUUCUGACGCUCAGACGCGAAAGCUAGGGUAGCAAACGGG